GAUUCUGGCUCAGGAUGAACGCUAGCUACAGGCUUAACACAUGCAAGUCGAGGGGCAGCAGGACGAUAGCUUGCUAUUGUUGCUGGCGACCGGCGCACGGGUGAGUAACGCGUAUCCAACCUUCCCCUUAGUAGGGCAUAGCCCGGUGAAAAUCGGAUUAAUACCCUAUGUUGUGUCAUGAGGACAUCUGAAUAACACUAAAGAUUUAUCGCUAAGGGAUGGGGAUGCGUCCGAUUAGGUAGUCGGCGGGGUAACGGCCCACCGAGCCCUCGAUCGGUAGGGUUCUGAGAGGAAGGUCCCCCACACUGGUACUGAGACACGGACCAGACUCCUACGGGAGGCAGCAGUGAGGAAUAUUGGUCAAUGGGCGUAAGCCUGAACCAGCCAAGUAGCGUGCAGGAUGACGGCCCUAUGGGUUGUAAACUGCUUUUAUACGGGGAUAAAGUGAGGGACGUGUCCCUUAUUGUAGGUACCGUAUGAAUAAGGACCGGCUAAUUCCGUGCCAGCAGCAGC
RNAcentral lists this ribosomal RNA (513 nucleotides) under uncultured bacterium. Its description in RNAcentral is "bacterial SSU rRNA". It matches the Rfam family "Bacterial small subunit ribosomal RNA", at positions 15 to 518 of the family's 1533-position model. The record is from RNAcentral.